Molecule: ribosomal RNA, 497 nt
Filed under: uncultured bacterium
Lineage: Bacteria
Description: partial 16S ribosomal RNA
Rfam family: Bacterial small subunit ribosomal RNA
Source: RNAcentral
GAUGAACGCUGGCGGCGUGCCUAAUACAUGCAAGUCGAGCGAACAGACGAGGAGCUUGCUCCUCUGACGUUAGCGGCGGACGGGUGAGUAACACGUGGAUAACCUACCUAUAAGACUGGGAUAACUUCGGGAAACCGGAGCUAAUACCGGAUAAUAUAUUGAACCGCAUGGUUCAAUAGUGAAAGACGGUUUUGCUGUCACUUAUAGAUGGAUCCGCGCCGCAUUAGCUAGUUGGUAAGGUAACGGCUUACCAAGGCAACGAUGCGUAGCCGACCUGAGAGGGUGGUCGGCCACCCUGGAACUGAGACACGGUCCAGACUACUACGGGAGGCAGCAGUAGGGAAUCUUCCGCAAUGGGCGAAAGCCUGACGGAGCAACGCCGCGUGAGUGAUGAAGGUCUUCGGAUCGUAAAACUCUGUUAUUAGGGAAGAACAAAUGUGUAAGUAACUAUGCACGUCUUGACGGUACCUAAUCAGAAAGCCACGGCUAACUACGUG